Molecule: ribosomal RNA, 678 nt
Filed under: uncultured bacterium
Lineage: Bacteria
Description: bacterial SSU rRNA
Rfam family: Bacterial small subunit ribosomal RNA (bases 1-568)
Source: RNAcentral
CCUACGGGAGGCAGCAGUGGGGAAUUUUGGACAAUGGGCGCAAGCCUGAUCCAGCCAUGCCGCGUGAGUGAAGAAGGCCUUCGGGUUGUAAAGCUCUUUCGGCAGGAACGAAAUGGUUCGUGUUAAUACCACGGACUGAUGACGGUACCUGAAGAAGAAGCACCGGCUAACUACGUGCCAGCAGCCGCGGUAAUACGUAGGGUGCAGGCGUUAAUCGGAAUUACUGGGCGUAAAGCGUGCGCAGGCGGUUUCUUAAGUCAGAUGUGAAAGCCCCGGGCUUAACCUGGGAACUGCGUUUGAAACUGGGAGACUUGAGUGUGGCAGAGGGGGGUGGAAUUCCACGUGUAGCAGUGAAAUGCGUAGAUAUGUGGAGGAACACCGAUGGCGAAGGCAGCCCCCUGGGUUAACACUGACGCUCAUGCACGAAAGCGUGGGGAGCAAACAGGAUUAGAUACCCUGGUAGUCCACGCCCUAAAACUAUAGUCAACUAGUUAGGUUCGGGGGUAGGUUAGUAGUUACCUUCGGUUAACGGUAAACGACGUAACGUACGUAGUAAGUUAGUACCGACCGUCGGGGAGGGUACGGACCGGCCGAAACGGUUAAAACGUUAACAAAUAAGAAGUUAGUACGGACGUGAGACGUAGCCGAACGGACGACGAACGAACGGGAAGGAAGGAG